GCCUGGGUGGCUCAGUCGGCUGAGCAUCUGACUUCGGCUCAGGUCAUGAUCUCACGGUUCGUGGGUUCGAGCCCCGUGUCGGGCU
RNAcentral lists this transfer RNA (85 nucleotides) under Felis catus (domestic cat). It matches the Rfam family "tRNA". From Rfam's summary of the family: Transfer RNA (tRNA) molecules are approximately 80 nucleotides in length. Their secondary structure includes four short double-helical elements and three loops (D, anti-codon, and T loops). Lineage: Eukaryota; Metazoa; Chordata; Mammalia; Carnivora; Felidae. The record is from Rfam by way of RNAcentral.